RNAcentral lists this ribosomal RNA (433 nucleotides) under uncultured bacterium. Its description in RNAcentral is "partial 16S ribosomal RNA". It matches the Rfam family "Bacterial small subunit ribosomal RNA", at positions 29 to 507 of the family's 1533-position model. The record is from RNAcentral.
AGCGAACGCUGGCGGCAGGCUUAACACAUGCAAGUCGAGCGGGCACUUCGGUGUCAGCGGCAGACGGGUGCGUAACACGUGGGAACGUACCCUUUGGUUCGGAAUAACGCUGGGAAACUAGCGCUAAUACCGGAUACGCCCUUUUGGGGAAAGGCUUGCUGCCGAAGGAUCGUCCCGCGUCUGAUUAGCUAGUUGGUGGGGUAAUGGCCUACCAAGGCGACGAUCAGUAGCUGGUCUGAGAGGAUGAUCAGCAACACUGGGACUGAGACACGGCCCAGACUCCUACGGGAGGCGGCAGUGGGGAAUAGUGGAAAAUGGGGGCAAGCCUGAACCAGCCAUGACGCGUGAGUGAUGAAGGCCUUAGGGUUGUAAAGCGAGUUUGUCCGGGAAGAUAAUGACGGUACCGGAAGAAUAAGCCCCGGCUAACUUCGUG